GACGAACGCUGGCGGCGUGCUUAACACAUGCAAGUCGAACGGAAAGGCCUGCUUUCCCUUGUGGAUUGCGGGUACUCGAGUGGCGAACGGGUGAGUAACACGUGAGUGAUCUGCCCCCAACUUGGGUAUAAGCCUGGGAAACUGGGUCUAAUUCCCGAUAGGACUGCAGGGUGGUGCCUGUGGUGGAAAACGAUUUUCUAGUGGUUGGGGAUGAGCUCGCGGCCUAUCAGCUUGUUGGUGGGGUAAUGGCCUACCAAGGCGGCGACGGGUAGCCGGCCUGAGAGGGUGGACGGCGACAUUGGGACUGAGAUACGGCCCAGACGGCUACGGGAGGCAGCAGUGGGGAAUAUUGCACAAUGGGCGGAAGCCUGAUGCAGCGAGGCAGCGUGGGGGAUGACGGCCUUCGGGUUGUAAACUCCUUUCGACCGAGAGGAAGCCACCUGGUUGGAAGGGUGGUGACGGUAGUGGUAGAAGAAGCACCGGCUAACUACGUG
RNAcentral lists this ribosomal RNA (494 nucleotides) under uncultured bacterium. Its description in RNAcentral is "partial 16S ribosomal RNA". It matches the Rfam family "Bacterial small subunit ribosomal RNA", at positions 28 to 507 of the family's 1533-position model. The record is from RNAcentral.